CAAGGAAUCUUCCGCAAUGGGGGCAACCCUGACGGAGCAACGCCGCGUGGGGGAUGACGCCCUUCGGGGUGUAAACCCCUUUUCUGCGGGAAGAAGGUGGGGCAACCCACUUGACGGUACCGCAGGAAGAAGGACCGGCUAACUACGUGCCAGCAGCCGCGGUAAUACGUAGGGUCCGAGCGUUGUCCGGAGUUACUGGGCGUAAAGCGCGCGCAGGCGGCGGUGCUGGCCCGGCGUGAAAGCCCCCGGCUCAACCGGGGAGGGUCGUCGGGGACCGCACCGCUUGAGGGCGGUAGGGGCUGGUGGAAUGCCUGGUGUAGUGGUGAAAUGCGUAGAGAUCAGGCGGAACACCCGUGGCGAAGGCGGCCAGCUGGGCCGUCCCUGACGCUGAGGCGCGAAGGCGUGGGGAGCGAACGGG
RNAcentral lists this ribosomal RNA (418 nucleotides) under Bacillota bacterium. RNAcentral's name for it is "Firmicutes bacterium partial 16S ribosomal RNA". It matches the Rfam family "Bacterial small subunit ribosomal RNA", at positions 355 to 776 of the family's 1533-position model. The record is from RNAcentral. Lineage: Bacteria; Bacillati; Bacillota.